UUUGUCCUGUGACUGCGUACCUUUUGUAUAAUGGGUCAGCGACUUAUAUUCAGUGGCAAGGUUAACCAUCUAGGGGAGCCGUAGGGAAACCGAGUCUUAACUGGGCGUUCAGUCUCUGGAUAUAGACCCGAAACCAGGUGAUCUAGCCAUGGGCAGGUUGAAGGUUGAGUAACAUCAACUGGAGGACCGAACCGACUAAUGUUGAAAAAUUAGCGGAUGACUUGUGGCUAGGGGUGAAAGGCCAAUCAAACCUGGAGAUAGCUGGUUC
This 268-nucleotide ribosomal RNA is filed under the name Vibrio parahaemolyticus. RNAcentral describes it as "partial 23S ribosomal RNA". It matches the Rfam family "Bacterial large subunit ribosomal RNA", at positions 585 to 855 of the family's 2925-position model. Lineage: Bacteria; Pseudomonadati; Pseudomonadota; Gammaproteobacteria; Vibrionales; Vibrionaceae. The record is from RNAcentral.